GACAGAAACAGUCAUUACGGUGCUCAAAGGUGCAAAUGCAUUAGAGCUGAAACGGGAAUGAGGACGGUGGACCAAAUCGCGGCACCGAAACCUCAACCGCCCCCGCGACUGUGAGCGGCGAGCUACCUUCCAUUUCCACUGGUGCGAGAGUGCUGGGAAGGGGGAAGACGGCAUCGACCCGCGAGUCAGGAGACCGGCCGUAUAUUGAACGUAACU
Actibacterium atlanticum is the source of this 216-nucleotide non-coding RNA. The record is from Rfam. NCBI's taxonomy places the organism in Bacteria, Pseudomonadati, Pseudomonadota, Alphaproteobacteria, Rhodobacterales, Roseobacteraceae.